Molecule: transfer RNA, 69 nt
Filed under: Enteromius pobeguini
Lineage: Eukaryota; Metazoa; Chordata; Actinopteri; Cypriniformes; Cyprinidae
Description: tRNA-Ala
Rfam family: tRNA
About the family: Transfer RNA (tRNA) molecules are approximately 80 nucleotides in length. Their secondary structure includes four short double-helical elements and three loops (D, anti-codon, and T loops).
Source: RNAcentral
AAAGCCUUAGCUUAAUAAAAGUAUCUGACUUGCAUUCAGAAGAUGUGAGUUAAUAUCUCACAGGUUUUA